UAGUAUAAGCAUUAUACCGUGAAACUGCGAAUGGCUCAUUAAAUCAGUUAUCGUUUAUUUGAUAGUACCUUACUACUUGGAUAACCGUGGUAAUUCUAGAGCUAAUACAUGCUGAAAACCCCAACUUCGGGAGGGGUGUAUUUAUUAGAUAAAAAACCAACGCCCUUCGGGGCUUCUUGGUGAUUCAUGAUAACUUCACGGAUCGCAUGGCCUUGCGCCGGCGACGGUUCAUUCAAAUUUCUGCCCUAUCAACUUUCGAUGGUAAGGUAUUGGCUUACCAUGGUUUCAACGGGUAACGGGGAAUUAGGGUUCGAUUCCGGAGAGGGAGCCUGAGAAACGGCUACCACAUCCAAGGAAGGCAGCAGGCGCGCAAAUUACCCAAUCCCGACACGGGGAGGUAGUGACAAUAAAUACUGAUACAGGGCUCUUUUGGGUCUUGUAAUUGGAAUGAGUACAAUUUAAACCUCUUAACGAGGAACAAUUGGAGGGCAAGUCUGGUGCCAGCAGCCGCGGUAAUUCCAGCUCCAAUAGCGUAUAUUAAAGUUGUUGCAGUUAAAAAGCUCGUAGUUGAAACUUGGGCCUGGCUGGCAGGUCCGCCUCACCGCGUGUACUUGUCCGGCCGGGCCUUUCCUUCUGGAGAACCCCAUGCCCUUCACUGGGUGUGUUGGGGAACCAGGACUUUUACUUUGAAAAAAUUAGAGUGUUCAAAGCAGGCCUUUGCUCGAAUACGUUAGCAU
This 737-nucleotide ribosomal RNA is filed under the name uncultured Phoma. RNAcentral describes it as "SSU rRNA". It matches the Rfam family "Eukaryotic small subunit ribosomal RNA", at positions 61 to 810 of the family's 1831-position model. The record is from RNAcentral. Lineage: Eukaryota; Fungi; Ascomycota.